AUUGCCCAAAUCUUGUUUCUUUCCCGAAAGAUGGGCUUCCUUACCACUUAAUUAGAAGUCGUUAUCAGAGGAUGUGAGAAACUACAAGCCCUACCUAGUCACAUGUAUUCUUUCCCAAACAAGAUAUUCCCUCCAAUCUAACAUCACUUGACGUUGAUGAUCCCCAAAUGCAGUGUCUUUUCCAGAGGACGAGCUGCCAGCCUCUCUAAUUUAUUUGACAAUCAGAAGAUUCCCGCAGUAGAAAUACCUAUCUCCCAAGGGUUUUCAAAAUCUCACCUCCCUCGAAUGGUUGUCUAUCAUUGAUUGCCCAAAUCUUACAUCCUUGCCAGACCUUCCGUCCUCGCUUCUGCAGCUAUUUAUUAGUAGAUGUCCUUUACUGAAACAACGAUGCAAAAGGGAAGAAGGACAAGAGUGGUCUCAGAUAGCGAACAUUCCUUUCGUAUUGAAGUUUCUAAAUAAGCCAGAGGAGGAAGAAUGAAGUCAAUUUGAUUUCAGGAACAAUUAAAAAGGCUGAAUGGUCAAUUACCUCACUUCAUUCUCGUGGACUAUUCAGGAACCAACUGAAAGGUAUGACCUCCGGGAUGAAAUAUGCCAACUUCUUAAUGUCAGUGGUCAAGCUUUUAGUUGCCUUCCGAGUUGUGGUGACUCCAGGCUGCUGGCCUACCAUUGUUUUGUUAAAGUUUCUGCUUCUGGCUUGCCGAGCUUCUGCUUUCUGCAAUUUUUUUAGAGGUGUUUCUGCUCAAAUGUGUGAAAUUUGGUAGCUGAAGAUUCUGUUAAAGCCUUUCCAAGGUUGUAAUAUGCUAGUUCUCACUUGUGCAAAAAACAGUGUAAAUGGGACUAAGGACAAGAGUUGUUCAAGAAUGAACUCCAUUUGGUCUCACAAACGAACAAAGAGACUGAAUCCACUAAUUCCUCUUUUCAUGUUUCUACUAUUUUCAGGUCUGUCAAUUUCUAGCACCUAAACUGUACCAAUUGCAGAUUUUUAUGAAACAGAGUCUUGAUUAUGUCAUGCUUGCAGGAAGCAAAAAAUUUCAGGAUACAUUUCAAAAUUGUGAUGGCAGUGG
Molecule: long non-coding RNA, 1064 nt
Organism: Pistacia vera
Lineage: Eukaryota; Viridiplantae; Streptophyta; Magnoliopsida; Sapindales; Anacardiaceae
Exons: 3
Source: RefSeq, a predicted model, not a curated record